AUGAACGCUGGCGGCGUGCCUAAUACAUGCAAGUCGAACGAGGUGCUUUUGUAGCAAUACGAGAGUAUCCUAGUGGCGAACGGGUGAGUAACGCGUUGGUGACCUACCCCAAAGUGUGGAAUAACAGUCCGAAAGGAUUGCUAAUACCGCAUGUGGUUAUCGGGUUUAGAAACUGAUAACUAAAGGAGCAAUUCGCUUUGGGAGGGACCUGCGUCCCAUCAGCUAGUUGGUGAGGUAAUGGCUCACCAAGGCUACGACGGGUAGGGGACCUGAGAGGGUGACCCCCCACAAUGGAACUGAAACACGGUCCAUACACCUACGGGUGGCAGCAGUAGGGAAUAUUGCACAAUGGGCGAAAGCCUGAUGCAGCAACGCCGCGUGCACGAUGAAGGCCUUCGGGUCGUAAAGUGCUCUUCUGGGAGAUGAGAAAGGACAGUAUCCCAGGAAUAAGUCUCGGCUAACUACGUG
This 468-nucleotide ribosomal RNA is filed under the name uncultured bacterium. RNAcentral's name for it is "partial 16S ribosomal RNA". It matches the Rfam family "Bacterial small subunit ribosomal RNA", at positions 29 to 507 of the family's 1533-position model. The record is from RNAcentral.